Molecule: ribosomal RNA, 378 nt
Filed under: uncultured organism
Description: partial 16S ribosomal RNA
Rfam family: Bacterial small subunit ribosomal RNA
Source: RNAcentral
GUAGGUGGCAAGCGUUGUCCGGAAUUAUUGGGCGUAAAGCGCGCGCAGGCGGGGUACCGUUUAAGUCUGAUGUGAAAGCCCACGGGCUCAACCGUGGAGGGUCAUUGGAAACUGGGGGACUUGAGUACAGAAGAGGAAAGCGGAAUUCCAAGUGUAGCGGUGAAAUGCGUAGAGAUUUGGAGGAACACCAGUGGCGAAGGCGGCUUUCUGGUCUGUAACUGACGCUGAGGCGCGAAAGCGUGGGGAGCAAACAGGAUUAGAUACCCUGGUAGUCCACGCCGUUAAACGAUGAGUGCUAAGUGUUAGGGGGUUUCCGCCCCUUAGUGCUGCAGCUAACGCAUUAAGCACUCCGCCUGGGGAGUACGGCCGCAAAGGCUG